UAACCGCUGAAAGCAUCUAAGUGGGAAGCCCACCUCAAGAUGAUUGCUCUCACCACUUUUUGUGGGUAAGGUCACGGGCAGAACACCCGUUUAUAGGUGUUAGGUCGAAGUCCAGCGAUGGAUGUAGCCGAGACACACUAACAGACCGAGGGCUUGACCUCAUUU
Molecule: ribosomal RNA, 165 nt
Filed under: Oscillatoriales cyanobacterium CG2_30_40_61
Lineage: Bacteria; Bacillati; Cyanobacteriota; Cyanophyceae; Oscillatoriales
Description: partial 23S ribosomal RNA
Rfam family: Bacterial large subunit ribosomal RNA
Source: RNAcentral